GACGAACGCUGGCGGCGUGCCUAAUACAUGCAAGUCGAACGCUUCUUUCCUCCCGAGUGCUUGCACUCAAUUGGAAAGAGGAGUGGCGGACGGGUGAGUAACACGUGGGUAACCUACCCAUCAGAGGGGGAUAACACUUGGAAACAGGUGCUAAUACCGCAUAACAGUUUAUGCCGCAUGGCAUAAGAGUGAAAGGCGCUUUCGGGUGUCGUUGAUGGAUGGACCCGCGGUGCAUUAGCUAGUUGGUGAGGUAACGGCUCACCAAGGCGACGAUGCAUAGCCGACCUGAGAGGGUGAUCGGCCACACUGGGACUGAGACACGGCCCAGACUCCUACGGGAGGCAGCAGUAGGGAAUCUUCGGCAAUGGACGAAAGUCUGACCGAGCAACGCCGCGUGAGUGAAGAAGGUUUUCGGAUCGUAAAACUCUGUUGUUAGAGAAGAACAAGGACGUUAGUAACUGAACGUCCCCUGACGGUAUCUAACCAGAAAGCCACGGCUAACUACGUG
Molecule: ribosomal RNA, 508 nt
Filed under: uncultured bacterium
Lineage: Bacteria
Description: partial 16S ribosomal RNA
Rfam family: Bacterial small subunit ribosomal RNA
Source: RNAcentral